CCUGCGCACUGGGCCUUCGGGGCGGCACUGGCACAGCGACCCGCCUGGGGCUGCCCACCACCCUCACAUCCCUAUGUCCGCCACCCCUGCACUCCAGGGACACCACGAACAGACGGUGCGAGCUCCCGGGCUCCGCGCUCUGCAGCGCCCCUGUGCAUGGGGCGGCCUCAGGAGGCCUGGGCUCCCGCAGCAGCGCCGGCCUCGGGCUGAGGUCCCCGAGCCAGGGCUCCACUUCCCGCUCAGCGGACCGCAGGAGUCAACCGAGGCACAGAGAGAGCCAGCUGCUGAGUCGGAUGCUGGCUACGCAGGUGGCAGGGUGGGCCUGCUGGGGGGAAGAUGACCAGGCUGUGUCCAAGCUGCAGCCCAAAUGCCCCCAGAAGAGGACAUCAUGAGUCAGCCUCCCACCUAGAGGGAGACAAUGGCACCAGAAGGACCAGUGGCUACCGGGCUUCGUGCAGUGUAGGGCACCCCUGAUAUGCCCCGUCCUUGCUCUUGCAGCCACCAACUUUGCCAGCAGCACUAACUGCUGCCUCCCUGAGGGCUCAGUCUACCCUGCAGCCUGUCUGGGCCACCUGCAUUCACCUCCGAGACCCAACACUUCAUACCCAUGGUCUCGGUGCCACAUCCAGGCACCACCCCAUGCUCCCCUCACCCCACACCCAAGUGUAGCGCUUCCCAAACCCCUGCCUAGAAGGCCACUAGCCCUGCCCGAGGUUUGCUCUCACGUAGGCCCCUGGCCCAAACCCCAGGUUGCAGGGUGAGCUCUCUCCUGGGCCCGCCCUCUGCCCUCUACUCUCCUGAUCCCUGUUUGGCCUCCUCGUAGAACCCCCACUGCCCCAUUCCCUACUUGAGCACUCCUAGAAGUAGGUCCAGCCUGGCCUUGGUGUCCAGGACUGCUGCCAGGACAAAGGACAGAGCAAUCGACGCAAGGACCUGCACCAGGACAACCGAGACAGCACGGCUGCCAAGAACCUUUUGUCAGAGAUGCUUGGGGAGUGUUUCUCUCAUUCCAACCAGCACAAACACCUGUGUGGGUCUCGGAGCGUCGGUGCAGUUUGCCUGGGUUUGGGGUUUCUGCCGGACGAGACGGCCUCCUGCAGUGGCUGAGUAAGCCUGGGGCGAAGCCGUGGAUGCCCAAGAGGUUCCAAGCGCCACCUCCAGCCCAUCGUGUCCAAGACAGGGCCCCUUCCCCCAGAAAAGGACAUAAUCCUGAUUUAAUCAGGAAUCUUCAGUAGGCACAAGCGGGCUCUGAAGGGGUGAUGUGGAUGGAAACAGCCAUUCUGAGCACAUUUGGGUUCUUAUUGUUCCGGAAAAGAUACAGAGGCACCCAGGCUGAGGUUGGUGGAGCCAAGCAAAACCGGAGUGGAGCUUUUUCCAGACGGUGCUUCCCUGGUCUGGCUGAUGCAGGUGUGGGAAGGAGGCUGCCUCUGGCCGUUCCUAGACAGCAGUGAAGUCGAGCCCUGUGCCUGGUUGACGGAAUCUACUUCCACAUCAGGGACUGACCGAAACAGCUCCCCAGGUGGAAAGAGAGCUGGUUCUCGGUCCCCACCUCGGAAGGCCAUCAGCUGCAGGCUUGGUGUCCCGCCCUGGCCCCCCUCCGGCUCGUGUUCACAGGAAUCCAUCAUUUCCCAGCCUCUAGAUUACUCUGGGGCUGAUUAAAUUAGUGAAUGCAAUCACAAUCUGAAGCAAGUUAAUUGAGAGAAUUUAUGUGGGUCUGACAGUUUUAUGCAUGUUUGAUUAAGUAUUAUAAGGUUUGUUUUUGACUUUGCAUAAUUUAACUUUAAAUCCUGCAUGGGGGGGCCCAUCAACCAUUAAUGACCAAAAUAAACCUCUUGUAAGAUGCUUCUUUUUAUGAUUUAUUUCUGAAUGCAAUAUCCUCCAGAUUUUUUUGAUGCUAUUGCCAAAGUGACAAAUAUGUUUAAAGUAACAUUUUGAGUCAUCCCAUUCACCCUGUAAAUCUUCCAGAAUGUAUACAAUUCAUUAAAAGUUUUGAAAGAAGUACAAGUUAGCAUUUACAUUCUAACAAGUGACAUAUAAAUGCGUAUGUUUGUCUUCCAAGCACACCAUAAAAUAUAUCCCCCCGUGAGCUCCUCAGAGCCGUACAAAUCGUCCGUGUGCUGGGGUAAUGAUAAACUUGGUCACAAAUCUUCACUGCUGUCAACACAAAACUGUUCAAUCAACAGGAAUAUGAGUUGUGUGUUUUGUGAAAUUAGCACAAGAGAAAAUACAGCCCAGG
This is a long non-coding RNA of Piliocolobus tephrosceles (Ugandan red Colobus), 2236 nucleotides long. RefSeq lists it as uncharacterized. The transcript is spliced from 3 exons. The record is from RefSeq and is a predicted model, not a curated record. NCBI's taxonomy places the organism in Eukaryota, Metazoa, Chordata, Mammalia, Primates, Cercopithecidae.